GGCGUUUAUGGAAUACGAAGAAGGUCUGCAAAACCUUUAUGCGCCGGUUCGAUCCCGGCCCGCGCCUCCA
RNAcentral lists this transfer RNA (70 nucleotides) under Acidobacteriota bacterium. RNAcentral describes it as "tRNA-Cys". The record is from RNAcentral. Lineage: Bacteria; Pseudomonadati; Acidobacteriota.